UGCCGCGUGCAGGAAGACUGCCUUAUGGGUUGUAAACUGCUUUUAUACAGGAAGAAACAUCCCGACGUGUCGGGACUUGACGGUACUGUAAGAAUAAGGAUCGGCUAACUCCGUGCCAGCAGCCGCGGUAAUACGGAGGAUCCAAGCGUUAUCCGGAAUCAUUGGGUUUAAAGGGUCCGUAGGCGGGCUUGUAAGUCAGUGGUGAAAGUCUGUGGCUCAACCAUAGAAUUGCCAUUGAUACUGCUAGUCUUGAAUUAUUAUGAAGUGGUUAGAAUAUGUAGUGUAGCGGUGAAAUGCUUAGAUAUUACAUGGAAUACCAAUUGCGAAGGCAGAUCACUAAUAAUAUAUUGACGCUGAGGGACGAAAGCGUGGGUAGCGAACAGGAUUAGAUACCCUGGUAGUCCACGCCGUAAACGAUGGAUACUAGCUGUUGGGCUUCGGCUCAGUGGCUAAGCGAAAGUGAUAAGUAUCCCACCUGGGGAGUACGUUCGCAAGAAUGAAACUCAAAGGAAUUGACGGGGGCCCGCACAAGCGGUGGAGCAUGUGGUUUAAUUCGAUGAUACGCGAGGAACCUUACCAGGGCUUAAAUGUAGUUUGACCGAUUUGGA
Molecule: ribosomal RNA, 608 nt
Filed under: uncultured bacterium
Lineage: Bacteria
Description: bacterial SSU rRNA
Rfam family: Bacterial small subunit ribosomal RNA
Source: RNAcentral